GUGUGUGUGUGUGUGUGUGUGUGUGUGACGGCUUCACUCGAGGAGACUCUCUGGAUGUGUUUGGACGCUAAAGGCUCAGAUGUGAGCAGGUCAUGCGCGAGACUGGGUUUCAGUCCUAUGUCUUCUGGAGUAACAUAACUUGUGUGGAAUAAACUCGCUUCCAGGACUGACAGAAGAAACAGCAGGAACCAAUGCUCCGUGGGUCCACCCUGACUUCGCGUCGCGCUUCCUGAAGAAAGGAAAAGCCCUGAUGUGCUUGUCACCCGAGCUGACGGCCGGGGCUUCGUGAUGGAGGCCGAAUGUCUUCGCUCGGACCCUCUUCAGACACUCAAAGGCCGCUCUGUUUCAGCCUGAUGACGAGCCGAUUGGAUAUAAUCUUGAGCGGCGGACUCAGGAGAUGGGGAGGGAUAGGGAAACUCUACAGAAGGCUUUGCAGGGAAGGAUCGUCUUUCUCCAGAAGUCGGAAACGAGCGUCGGAGGGUUUCUGCUGCCAGUCGGCUCUCUCCUCCUGUUACGACACGGGACCAAAUUCAAACCAUGUGUCCUCGCACCCGGUUAGCUGCUUUUGCCCACCUCUAGCAUUAGCGGUCUGGACGGAUCCAUUUCACUGCCCCUCUCCCGUGCGGCGUUCUCAUUCUCCCAGCCCCAAAUGAGCCUCUCCGUGGGACUCCUGGCUUAAUAGGCUGGAACUUCCCCAUGUCCGGUCUCCGAAGGUGGCUGUUAUCCUCCGAGGGCCCCUGUGCGAGUUUCAAGCUCGGGCUCAUGUUAUGGGCUGGGCGAGGUGGACUCCAGGAUGUCAGAAUGUGACGCUUCACACAGAUUUUCACGGUAGUGUCUGAGCAGACCUGUGGGUGAGUGUGACAGCUGGUUUCUCCACAUCAUGGAUUGGUCAGAGAUAUCUGGAGAUGCUCAUUUCAUAAGUGGAUUUCAGUUGUGAGGACUACACGUCACAGCAUCUGCUGUUUCCGUUUCCGUUUGCCAUGCUUUGACUGCAGAUACUGGAUUACUCGGACUGUUUUCUACUUUACGUCAUUUGUUGUCUACUGACUGGUCAGUACGCUGUUCCAGUCAUGCUAAAAUAUACAAUACACAUACAGUAGUUAUGCUGUUGAAACUCAUGUUCACUCCACCCAUAGAUGCUCUACUGAAUAAUAUAGAAAUGUUGUUUUAUAAAGAAAUAAGGCACUUUAUGUUGUGCUAUGUUGUAAAUGACUACAGUAUAUCACAAUCUAACACAUCCUCUUGUACAAUAUUGCUUCCUUUUAAUACAUAAAUAUUGUUUACAUGUGUGUAUAAUUGAUAUGAUAUUAUUUUUUUUAAUUGU
Long non-coding RNA from Sinocyclocheilus grahami, 1324 nucleotides. RefSeq lists it as uncharacterized. The record is from RefSeq and is a predicted model, not a curated record. The transcript is spliced from 4 exons. NCBI's taxonomy places the organism in Eukaryota, Metazoa, Chordata, Actinopteri, Cypriniformes, Cyprinidae.